RNAcentral lists this ribosomal RNA (468 nucleotides) under uncultured bacterium. RNAcentral describes it as "partial 16S ribosomal RNA". It matches the Rfam family "Bacterial small subunit ribosomal RNA", at positions 28 to 507 of the family's 1533-position model. The record is from RNAcentral.
GACGAACGCUGGCGGCGUGCUUAACACAUGCAAGUCGAACGGAAAGGCCCUGCUUUUGUGGGGUGCUCGAGUGGCGCACGUGUGAGUAACACGUGAGUCACCUGCCCUGGACUUUGGGAUAACUUCAGGAAAGUGGGGCUACUACCGGAGAGGAGCUCCUGCUGCAGGGUGGGGGUUGGACAGUUUAGGCGGUGGGGGGUGGACUCGCGGCUUAUCAGCUUGUUGGUGGGGUGGUGGCUUACCAAGGCUUUGACGGGUAGGCGGCCUGAGAGGGUGACCGGCCACAUUGGGCCUGAGAUACGGCCCAGACUCCUACGGGAGGCAGCAGUGGGGAAUAUUGCACAGUGGGCGGAAGCCUGAUGCAGCAACGCCGCGUGCGGGAUGACGGCCUUCGGGUUGUAAACCGCUUUCGCCUGAGACGAAGCGUGAGUGACGGUAAUGGGUAAAGAAGCACCGGCUAACUACGUG